This is a long non-coding RNA of Nerophis ophidion (straightnose pipefish), 850 nucleotides long. RefSeq lists it as uncharacterized. The record is from RefSeq and is a predicted model, not a curated record. The transcript has 3 exons. Lineage: Eukaryota; Metazoa; Chordata; Actinopteri; Syngnathiformes; Syngnathidae.
UCGAUGCCGACGCCUUGUAAUUUUUUAUUCCGCCCCCGCCGAGGCGCCGCUUCCUGUAGACCACUGCGGAGUGAAGGUGGAGGACCUGCAGGACGCUGAUAAGUCCUUGCCUUUUAAAGCCCGCCACCAAAGACACGCAGCGGGCAAGGAGCGGCACGCGUAUGUGUGUGGGGGUGUGGCCUGCGGGCCUGCAGCGAAGCGGGGUGUGCCAGGACCGGCUUCGAAAUCAGCGACAGGUGUUCAUUCAGCACUGAAGUAACCCAGCUGACCUACACCACAUCAUUUUUUUUAGGAGAAUGGCUCUUUCAGUCAUGGCAAUGCACGAUAUUGCAAGUUUUGGUUCUGAGGAUGAACCGAAGACCCGUGGAGAACUUUCCAGCCGUCAGUCCUUUGUCUGUGAUUUUUGGUCUGAGAGAGCAUCAAACUUACCAAAGGUCUCCCAAAAUAGGGACUGCCAGAUCGUGGUCUUUCUAAAAUUGAGGUGUGCGAGGUCGAACGAGUGUCUGAGUCUCAAAGUUCCUUCUCCCGGGUCUUAAAUAAAGACCGCAAGCGGACACAAAAAGAUGAUCUACCGGGUCCUUUUUUUAAACGCCCAUUGUUGCACGACACGGCCUCGUAAAUGAAUCCCUCGGCCAAUAAAAGCCGCCAUUACCGCCGGAAAGAACAUUGGGAUUCUUUCCGGCGGAGACUUUUAUCGGAACGCCGUGAAGCAGAGGAGAAAGAGUGAUGCAUGGGAAGUCAGUCUGCAGCCGUAAUGGAAACUAUUACAGCUGGGGCAGUAAAUGUCAAGUCCGAGUUAGUGACUUACUCACCGAACAGCCUUAAAAACUGCAUUUUUUUGGGGGGGGUG